This 250-nucleotide ribosomal RNA is filed under the name uncultured Caldilineae bacterium. RNAcentral describes it as "partial 16S ribosomal RNA". It matches the Rfam family "Bacterial small subunit ribosomal RNA", at positions 524 to 773 of the family's 1533-position model. The record is from RNAcentral. Lineage: Bacteria; Bacillati; Chloroflexota; Caldilineae.
UACGUAGGUGGCAAGCGUUAUCCGGAAUUACUGGGCGUAAAGCGCACGCAGGCGGUCUUUUAAGUUUGACGUGAAAGCUCCCGGCUUAACUGGGAGAGGUCGUUGAAUACUGGAAGACUUGAGGCAAUGAGAGGGGUGUAGAAUUCCCGGUGUAGUGGUGGAAUGCGUAGAUAUCGGGGGGAAUACCAGUGGCGAAAGCGGCACCCUAGCGUUAGCCUGACGCUCAUGUGCGAAAGCGUGGGGAGCGAAC